Molecule: long non-coding RNA, 390 nt
Organism: Pipra filicauda (Wire-tailed manakin)
Lineage: Eukaryota; Metazoa; Chordata; Aves; Passeriformes; Pipridae
Exons: 3
Source: RefSeq, a predicted model, not a curated record
AGUGGGUGUCCUUGCCCGCAUCAUUGCUAACAACUGCACGGCGUGGGCAGUGAUAGCUGAGAGAUGCAGCUGGAGCCAGAGGACACACUCAGACCCGUUCAUGUCUAGCAGAAGUUUGUUUGUAGUUGAUGUGAGCUGGGUUUGCUCACAGGUUAGAGCCCAAGCGUUGUGUGUUCAGCACCACGCAUACUUAAGUGGUCCCAACAUCUGAGAGAGACAGCUUUUGUAGCAAUCCUUAGAGAAGUGCCACCACCUCGUUGAUGUCAGCUUAUCUGAAGAGACCUCUUGACCUGAAGUCCAGCAGAAAUUGCCAACAUAUGUUCAGAUUGUUUUCAUACAAACAAAGAAGAAAUGGAAUGGUACAAGAUUGGAAACUGCAUUUAUUUUAAU